GGAGAGGUGGCAGAGCGGUCGAAUGCGGCGGUCUUGAAAACCGUUAUCCCGGGUGACCGGGAUCGGGGGUUCGAAUCCCUCCCUCUCCGCCA
RNAcentral lists this transfer RNA (92 nucleotides) under Candidatus Babelota bacterium. RNAcentral describes it as "tRNA-Ser". It matches the Rfam family "tRNA". From Rfam's summary of the family: Transfer RNA (tRNA) molecules are approximately 80 nucleotides in length. Their secondary structure includes four short double-helical elements and three loops (D, anti-codon, and T loops). The record is from RNAcentral.